Molecule: ribosomal RNA, 426 nt
Filed under: uncultured Succinivibrio sp.
Lineage: Bacteria; Pseudomonadati; Pseudomonadota; Gammaproteobacteria; Aeromonadales; Succinivibrionaceae
Description: bacterial SSU rRNA
Rfam family: Bacterial small subunit ribosomal RNA
Source: RNAcentral
UGGGGGAAUAUUGGGCAAUGGGCGCAAGCCUGACCCAGCAACGCCGCGUGAAGGAAGAAGGCUUUCGGGUUGUAAACUUCUUUUGUCAGGGACGAGCAGAAGACGGUACCUGACGAAUAAGCCACGGCUAACUACGUGCCAGCAGCCGCGGUAAUACGUAGGUGGCAAGCGUUGUCCGGUAUUUACUGGGUGUAAAGGGCAUGCAGGCGGUUCAUCAAGUAGGAUGUGAAAUCCCCGGGCUCAACCUGGGAACAGCAUACUAAACUGGUGGACUAGAGUAUUGCAGGGGGAGACGGAAUUCCAGGUGUAGCGGUGGAAUGCGUAGAUAUCUGGAAGAACACCAAAGGCGAAGGCAGUCUCCUGGGCAAAUACUGACGCUCAUAUGCGAAAGCGUGGGUAGCAAACAGGAUUAGAUACCCUGGUAGU